This 200-nucleotide unclassified non-coding RNA is filed under the name Pleosporales sp. RNAcentral describes it as "partial internal transcribed spacer 2". Lineage: Eukaryota; Fungi; Ascomycota; Dothideomycetes; Pleosporales. The record is from RNAcentral.
UUAAGUUCAGCGGGUAUCCCUACCUGAUCCGAGGUCAAUCUGGGGUGGUUUUGCUUACUGGUAAGCCCCUCCCCUCGCCACGCCACGCAAAUCUGCUGCGUUUAGAGCCGAGUGGGGAGCUGCCAACUGCUUUUGAGGCGAGUCCACGCACGAUGGCGGGACAGACACCCAUCACCAAGCCGAGCUUGAAUUUUGAAAUG